This 717-nucleotide long non-coding RNA is filed under the name Coturnix japonica (Japanese quail). Its description in RNAcentral is "lncRNA (ENSCJPG00005012131.1)". Lineage: Eukaryota; Metazoa; Chordata; Aves; Galliformes; Phasianidae. The record is from RNAcentral.
UGACUAUUACACAAAAAUAGAAACGUGUAAUAGACUUGAAAGCUCUGUACUGAAAAAGCAGAAUUGAGAAUGCAAUUGAAUGUUUUCAAAAGUUAAGAAAUGUUAUGUAUAUGGCAGUCCAAACAGUUUUAAUCAUUAUUUGCUUACUUUUUGAUAGUACUUUUAUGUACUUUUUGUGUGUAAAUGAUGGACUUCUUCUCUACUUAUGUUCUCUUUGUAGCAGUCACCAUUUACAUGAGUGUUGAAUUUGUUCAAAGAUGUCAAUGCAGCUGAUUACUUAACAUUACUUUUCCAUCAUCUCCCAAGUAGGAAAAGAAAACAACAAAAAUCAGCAGGAACAAACUAACUCAUGAAUAUGGAAGUUCUUAGAUUUUCACUAGCUACAGAAGAGUUCCAGUGCUUUCCAGUAUUUCCAUAUGCUGAGUCAAAUUGGCCUGAGAGAAUGGACAAGAAAAACUGUAGAAUCACUGUCUCGCUCCAGUUUAUAGGAAGGAGGCAAGUUUCUUUUGAUAUAUUACACCCAGCAUGCAAUUAAGAAACAAUGGUUCAAAUGUUGGUCCAACCAGUUUAUUACAAAGAAUAAUCAGCCGAGAAAAUGGGGAGGGGAGAGCGGUAACUACCAAGAAUUAGGGUGAUGGGGAUGGGAAAGCGGGCAAUAGGAAAGGUAGGAAGAAAGCAAGAAUUGAAUAAAGUGGGGAUAAUCACUACCUGGAUGCA